This 253-nucleotide ribosomal RNA is filed under the name uncultured bacterium. RNAcentral describes it as "partial 16S ribosomal RNA". It matches the Rfam family "Bacterial small subunit ribosomal RNA", at positions 524 to 776 of the family's 1533-position model. The record is from RNAcentral.
UACAGAGGGUGCGAGCGUUAAUCGGAAUUACUGGGCGUAAAGCGCACGUAGGCGGCUAUGUAAGUCAGGUGUGAAAUCCCCGGGCUCAACCUGGGAACUGCAUUUGAGACUGCAUGGCUAGAGUAUGGGAGAGGAAGGCGGAAUUCCCGGUGUAGCGGUGAAAUGCGUAGAUAUCGGGAGGAACAUCAGUGGCGAAGGCGGCCUUCUGGCCCAAUACUGACGCUCAGGUGCGAAAGCGUGGGGAGCAAACAGG